RNAcentral lists this ribosomal RNA (253 nucleotides) under uncultured bacterium. RNAcentral's name for it is "partial 16S ribosomal RNA". It matches the Rfam family "Bacterial small subunit ribosomal RNA", at positions 524 to 776 of the family's 1533-position model. The record is from RNAcentral.
UACAGAGGGGGCAAGCGUUGUUCGGAAUUACUGGGCGUAAAGCGUGCGCAGGCGGCUUCGCAAGUCAGACGUGAAAUCCCCGGGCUUAACCUGGGAAUGGCGUUUGAAACUACGGAGCUGGAGUAUGGCAGAGGGGGGUGGAAUUCCACGUGUAGCGGUGAAAUGCGUAGAUAUGUGGAGGAACACCGAUGGCGAAGGCAGCCCCCUGGGCCAAUACUGACGCUCAUGCACGAAAGCGUGGGGAGCAAACAGG